UUUCUUCUUUCUUCGUCUUUGUCCCUUUCUUUUUUUUCCUUCUCCUUCUCUUCUUUUUGUUUGAGUUUCUUUGCGUGAUGAACACAGAGAGGGA
Molecule: non-coding RNA, 94 nt
Filed under: Palpitomonas bilix
Lineage: Eukaryota
Source: RNAcentral